RNAcentral lists this long non-coding RNA (699 nucleotides) under Homo sapiens (human). RNAcentral describes it as "non-protein coding SATB1-AS1:12". Lineage: Eukaryota; Metazoa; Chordata; Mammalia; Primates; Hominidae. The record is from RNAcentral.
UUGCCUGGUUCCACAUGCACUUUAACCUGCUUUAUUUAGGCUUUUGAAAGCAACCUAAAUAGCUAACAUUGACUAAAUAAGUGCAGUAUACCUGGUCUGUGUGACAUUUUGCAGGUAUUAAAAAGUGAACAUUCUGAACCCUUUUAGCAAUAUGGCAAAUACUUCUGAUGUGAUGUAUGCAUAUAAAUAUGAUCGAAAGCAAAUAUCCCAAAAGGUUGAUGGCAGUUAUGUCAGGUUAGUAGCACAAUAGUUUCUUUUCUCAUUUUCUCACAUUUUUAGUAAUGUGUGUUGCCUAUAUUAAAAAACAAAUAUUAAAAAGUAGUAGCAUGUAUUAGAUCAGAGCAUGGGCUCAGACUGCCUGUGUCAUCUCUUAUUAGAUGUAUGACCAGGGACAAGUUAUUGACCUUUUGUUUCUAAGUCUCUAAGUUUAUCCUGUAAAAUGAAGAUAAUUGUAGUAACUACCUAAUAACAUGAUUGUAAGGAUUAAAUUAUUUAGAACACUAUUUGUUACUUGGAAAAUAUGCAAUCAUAAGCUAUUUUGUUGUUAUUGUUAUUUUACUACCAAAGCUUAUUGUUUCAGAGCCCCUAGGUGACCAGGCAAAAUGGCAGUUCCUUCCAGCUGGUCCUCAGAUGGGCACAUCUAUUAGCCUCUGCUCUUGUAAGAAGUUAGCUGCAGAACCCACAUGUGAAUCCUUGUAG